UAUUGCGCAAUGGGGGAAACCCUGACGCAGCAAUGCCGCGUGAGUGAUGAAGGCUCUAGGGUCGUAAAGCUCUGUCGUGGGGGAAGAUAAUGACGGUACCCGUAGAAGAAGCCCCGGCUAACUUCGUUCCAGCAGCCGCGGUAAUACGAAGGGGGCUAGCGUUGCUCGGAAUCACUGGGCGUAAAGCGCACGUAGGCGGCUUGUUAAGUCGGGGGUGAAAUCCUGGAGCUCAACUCCAGAACUGCCCUUGAUACUGACGAGCUCGAGUCCGGGAGAGGUGAGUGGAACUGCGAGUGUAGAGGUGAAAUUCGUAGAUAUUCGCAAGAACACCAGUGGCGAAGGCGGCUCACUGGCCCGGUACUGACGCUGAGGUGCGAAAGCGUGGGGAGCAAACA
RNAcentral lists this ribosomal RNA (395 nucleotides) under uncultured bacterium. Its description in RNAcentral is "bacterial SSU rRNA". It matches the Rfam family "Bacterial small subunit ribosomal RNA", at positions 362 to 774 of the family's 1533-position model. The record is from RNAcentral.